GCCCCACUAACAACAAGAACAUUACCGAGUUUAUAUAUUCAACACCCUUUGCAAUCUCUCUUGCACUCGAAAAUAAAGUCAUGGAAUACAUUUAUUGCUUAGCGCCUAUUCCGAGGUACCCCCACAACUGAAAAUCCGAUAACUGGAAAAGGCCGACAAGGAGCUAUAGGAACUCCAUGACUAUUGGGUGCUAACAGGACCUGCGGAUUCUUUAGCAUCAAAGAUAAAGCUCUAUAUUCUUUACCUAUCGAAGAUCAGUAUUCCUCACCUUCACCUUAUCCCGUAUCUUAUCUUGACACUCCGGAUACAGGCUAAUGAUUCUACUCCUGUUUCGACGCAAGUAUCUUCUCUUUAUUCUCUACUCCUGUUGAUGCCCCAACUCUAUUUGUUCUAUCAACUCCAAAACGAUAUUUGUUCUAUGAAUUUACCUAUCUUAUAAUAGGUAAUCUUCAAUCAAGACACGAAUUGCCUUAACCGAUUAACUACUGUUGGCCAAUACGAGUUUUGUCCACAAGAUCAGAAGCUAUUACUGGCUUUGAUGCACUACACUACCCUAAGUCAAUCAGUCUCAUCCUAUUCCUAUCCUAGCAAAGUCCAUUAAGUAGAUAUAAGUUCUGCGCUAACAGCCAGUUUCCGAAUGAUUUGUUGAGUUCCUAUCUUCAUCGUCUUCCAGUAUAGAAUCUGCAGUGCUAGUCAAGUCUGGGUUUAGGGCAUAAUCUUAAUAAAGUGCUUCUUCAGCGCAGGUGUAGUCUGAAGUAAGUCUACUUUCGGUUUCGAGGUGCCUAUAUCUAGCUUACUCUUUGGUCGGGGAAGCAUAUUCCUAUUUCUCAGAAGCAAGGGAUUCCGUUUCAUUCUUUGUUGCAAGCCGGUAGCUCGGAAAUAAAUCUAUUACAUGCUAUUAUGAGAGACUAUGCAAUCAGAUCUUGUGAACAUGCUUAGGAACCAAUAGAAGAUAAGAAAGAAGGGUUUUGUUCAAAGGCCAGGUCCUCCCUAUUAAGGAUAUUCAACAGGAAAGGGUGCCGACAUGAGUGAUUGAAGUUGAACUCGCUAAUCUAAUGUACCACUUACUAAUUACUUGAAUCCAGCUUACCAAGCAAUUCUCUCGUAGACAACACUAGCACCAAACCUAGACUUAUAAGAACAUAUGUGCUUACUGCUGAUUGACUUA
Molecule: long non-coding RNA, 1168 nt
Filed under: Musa acuminata (dwarf banana)
Lineage: Eukaryota; Viridiplantae; Streptophyta; Magnoliopsida; Zingiberales; Musaceae
Description: long non-coding RNA (MACU_LNC001282)
Source: RNAcentral